AUACGUAGGGAGCGAGCGUUGUCCGGAAUUACUGGGUGUAAAGGGAGCGUAGGCGGGAGUGCAAGUCAGAUGUGAAAUACAUGGGCUCAACCCAUGGGCUGCAUUUGAAACUGCAUUUCUUGUGUGAAGUAGAGGUAAGCGGAAUUCCUGGUGUAGCGGUGAAAUGCGUAGAUAUCAGGAGGAACCCCGGUGGCGAAGGCGGCUUACUGGGCUUUUACUGACGCUGAGGCUCGAAAGCGUGGGGAGCAAACAGGAUUAGAUACCCUGGUAGUCCACGCUGUAGACGAUGAUUACUAGGUGUGGGGGGACUGACCCCUUCCGUGCCGCAGUUAACACAAUAAGUAAUCCACCUGGGGAGUACGGCCGCAAGGUUGAAACUCAAAUGAAUUGACGGGG
Molecule: ribosomal RNA, 396 nt
Filed under: uncultured bacterium
Lineage: Bacteria
Description: partial 16S ribosomal RNA
Rfam family: Bacterial small subunit ribosomal RNA
Source: RNAcentral